GAUUAACGCUAGCGGCGUGCAUAACACAUGCAAGUCGAACGAUGAAACUUAACUGAUUUCUUCGGAAUGAUUUUAAGUGGAUUAGUGGCGGACGGGUGAGUAACGCGUGAGUAACCUGCCUUGGAGAAGGGGAUAGCCUUUGGAAACGAAGAAUAAUACCCUAUGAUAUGAUAAUAUCUCAUGAUAUUAUCAUCAAAGAUUUAUCGCUCUAAGAUGGACUUGCGUCUGAUUAGUUAGUUGGUGAGGUAACAGCUCACCAAGGCAGCGAUCAGUAGCCGGCUUGAGAGAGUGUACGGCCACAUUGGGACUGAGACACGGCCCAGACUCCUACGGGAGGCAGCAGUGGGGAAUUUUGCACAAUGGGGGAAACCCUGAUGCAGCGACGCCGCGUGAUUUAGAAGGCCUUCGGGUUGUAAAAAUCUUUUGUAUGGGAAGAAAAUGACAGUACCAUACGAAUAAGGACCGGCUAAUUACGUG
This 477-nucleotide ribosomal RNA is filed under the name uncultured bacterium. Its description in RNAcentral is "partial 16S ribosomal RNA". It matches the Rfam family "Bacterial small subunit ribosomal RNA", at positions 28 to 507 of the family's 1533-position model. The record is from RNAcentral.